GUUGGUGAUGCCAUCAGAUUCGAGCUGGCUUCUGUGAGCCUUGUUUCUGCCUCUGCUACACCAGCCUCUGCAAGGACCACGCUGCUCGCUCUUGGGCUGGGUCUUCAGCGACCGCCACCCUGAUCAGUCAGGAGCCACCAACAUCGAGGUAGGACCUUCCACCAGCAGAGAGAUACACCUGCCAGAAGACUGAGAUGAUGUGUGCCUGUAUUUUGCUCCCUUCCUCCAUUUUAAUAUUUCUCCUCCUGUGGUUUGGAGCACAGAAGCUGUACCUGCCAACACCCAGGACACUGUGAGGACCUGGAGUUUCUCAUGUUGGGGAUGCCCGGGUCCCAGGCCAGUGGAGAGCCAGGAGAACGCCGUGUGUGAAGCGGGUUUUAUCUGCACGAACACAAGGCCAGAGCCCUGGCUGACAGUGCAGACUCGCCUCCUCCCUCCUAUUCAUCCCUCCAUCCCGCGCCCUUGCCAAGGGCUCCUUUCUCUGACCCCUGGCUUUCUCCGUUCCCCAGCAUUCCGGGGACUUCAUCCAGCGUGCAUAACCUGCGCCCUUCAGUAAUCACGCAAACCCGAUUCAAUGACGUCAUGCCCUGGCACCUCCGAGCCAGCGCCCUGCGGUUUCCGGCUGCGCUUCCAGCCGCGCCACUGCCCGCAGAUGGACCCGGGUCUGGGUCUCUACUGUGCCUUCUUCCUGAGGAGUCACACUGCACGGCGGUGCAUGCCUGCCCAGCUCAAGCUCCUUUCCUCGCUGUUCAUCCGCAUGAAAUCUCCCAGUCAUCUGCAAAAGGAAUGCUGAGAGGCUUUGUUGGCCUAAAGCACCAGAGAGGGAAGCAGAUGACAACCGGUUUCAAAAAAAAAAAGACAGAAGAGACUUUCCUAAGAUGAAAAACUUCUGAGAACAUUCACAGAUGGUUGCUGUGCCAGGGAGCUCCCAGCAUCUGGCCACAGCGAUCCAGUGCACUAGGGCGGACAAAGUUGUUGAUGUCGUGCUUUAAA
This is a long non-coding RNA of Budorcas taxicolor (takin), 993 nucleotides long. RefSeq lists it as uncharacterized. The record is from RefSeq and is a predicted model, not a curated record. NCBI's taxonomy places the organism in Eukaryota, Metazoa, Chordata, Mammalia, Artiodactyla, Bovidae. The transcript is spliced from 3 exons.